GGCCUAAUGGCCCAAUGGCAAGGCGCUUGACUACGAUCACUCAGUAAUCAAGAGAUUCCAGGUUCGACCCCUGGUUAGGUCA
This 82-nucleotide transfer RNA is filed under the name Didymella heteroderae. It matches the Rfam family "tRNA". Rfam says of the family: Transfer RNA (tRNA) molecules are approximately 80 nucleotides in length. Their secondary structure includes four short double-helical elements and three loops (D, anti-codon, and T loops). Further hydrogen bonds mediate the characteristic L-shaped molecular structure. tRNAs have two regions of fundamental functional importance: the anti-codon, which is responsible for specific mRNA codon recognition, and the 3' end, to which the tRNAs corresponding amino acid is attached (by aminoacyl-tRNA synthetases). tRNAs cope with the degeneracy of the genetic code in two manners: having more than one tRNA (with a specific anti-codon) for a particular amino acid; and 'wobble' base-pairing, i.e. permitting non-standard base-pairing at the 3rd anti-codon position. Lineage: Eukaryota; Fungi; Ascomycota; Dothideomycetes; Pleosporales; Didymellaceae. The record is from Rfam by way of RNAcentral.